RNAcentral lists this ribosomal RNA (253 nucleotides) under uncultured bacterium. Its description in RNAcentral is "partial 16S ribosomal RNA". It matches the Rfam family "Bacterial small subunit ribosomal RNA", at positions 524 to 776 of the family's 1533-position model. The record is from RNAcentral.
UACGUAGGGUGCAAGCGUUACUCGGAAUUACUGGGCGUAAAGCGUGCGCAGGCGGGUUUGUAAGCCAGAUGUGAAAUCCCCGGGCUUAACCUGGGAAUGGCAUUUGGGACUGCAAGGCUUGAGUGCGGCAGAGGAGACUAGAAUUCCUGGUGUAGCAGUGAAGUGCGUAGAUAUCAGGAGGAAUACCGAUGGCGAAGGCAGGUCUCUGGGCUGACACUGACGCUGAGGAGCGAAAGCGUGGGGAGCGAACAGG